AGAGUUUGAUCAUGGCUCAGAACGAACGCUGGCGGCAGGCCUAACACAUGCAAGUCGAACGCCCCGCAAGGGGAGUGGCAGACGGGUGAGUAACACGUGGGAAUCUUCCUAUCGGUGGGGAAUAGCUCAGGGAAACUUGGGGUAAUACCGCAUAAGCCCGCAAGGGGAAAGAUUUAUCGCCGAUAGAUGAGCCCGCGUCUGAUUAGCUAGUUGGUGAGGUAAUGGCUCACCAAGGCGACGAUCAGUAGCUGGUUUGAGAGAAUGACCAGCCACACUGGGACUGAGACACGGCCCAGACUCCUACGGGAGGCAGCAGUGGGGAAUCUUGGACAAUGGGCGCAAGCCUGAUCCAGCCAUGCCGCGUGAGUGACGAAGGUCUUCGGAUUGUAAAGCUCUUUUAGCAGGGACGAUAAUGACGGUACCUGCAGAAUAAGC
RNAcentral lists this ribosomal RNA (435 nucleotides) under uncultured Hyphomicrobium sp. RNAcentral describes it as "bacterial SSU rRNA". It matches the Rfam family "Bacterial small subunit ribosomal RNA", at positions 8 to 491 of the family's 1533-position model. Lineage: Bacteria; Pseudomonadati; Pseudomonadota; Alphaproteobacteria; Hyphomicrobiales; Hyphomicrobiaceae. The record is from RNAcentral.